GGUUCAUUCAAAUUUCUGCCCUAUCAACUUUCGACGGCAGGUCUUGGCCUGCCAUGGUGACAACGGGUAACGGAGGGUUAGGGCUCGACCCGGAGAAGGAGCCUGAGAAACGGCUACUACAUCCAAGGAAGGCAGCAGGCGCGCAAAUUACCCAAUCCCGACCGGGGAGGUAGUGACAAUAAAUACUGAUACAGGGCUCUUUUGGGUCUUGUAAUUGGAAUGAGUACAAUUUAAACCCCUUAACGAGGAACAAUUGGAGGGCAAGUCUGGUGCCAGCAGCCGCGGUAAUUCCAGCUCCAAUAGCGUAUAUUAAAGUUGUUGCAGUUAAAAAGCUCGUAGUUG
This 342-nucleotide ribosomal RNA is filed under the name uncultured fungus. Its description in RNAcentral is "SSU rRNA". It matches the Rfam family "Eukaryotic small subunit ribosomal RNA", at positions 292 to 636 of the family's 1831-position model. The record is from RNAcentral. Lineage: Eukaryota; Fungi.